This is a long non-coding RNA of Anthonomus grandis grandis, 357 nucleotides long. RefSeq lists it as uncharacterized. Lineage: Eukaryota; Metazoa; Arthropoda; Insecta; Coleoptera; Curculionidae. The record is from RefSeq and is a predicted model, not a curated record. The transcript has 3 exons.
CUGGUUUUUGAGUUAUAACCAUUUUCUCAAUUUAUUAGGAAAAAAAUAUUAAUUUUUUAAAAAUAUUUUUUUUCUCUACACCCUGUAUAUUUUUCAAAAAACCCUGAAAUAGGUGUCUAAUGAAUUUAAUUGAAGAACCCGUAUACAAAUUUUCAGGUGUUUAGGUGCUCUGGUUUUUGAGUUAUGGUCAUUUUCUCAAUUUAUUAGUAAAAAAAAUAUUAAUUUUUCAAAAAUAUUUUUUUUCUCUACACCCUGUAUAUUUUUCAAAAAACCCUGAAAUAGGUGUCUAAUGAAUUUAAUUGAAGAACCCGUGUACAAAUUUUCAGGUGUUUAGGUGCCCUGGUUUUUGAGUUAUGG